AACCAUCUUGGCAAGGAUCUGAAAAACCAAGGGAUCUCGAUGUUCUGAAAUCAAAAUUAAUGAAAAUGACAAGGAAUCCAAGGAAAAAGGUCCUAAAGGUAGAAUAAAGUGAAAAGGCCAAAGCCCCACACAGGCGAGCCGCCAUGAGAAAUUUUGAAAAGCUGAGUUAUAGGAGAGAGAUCAAUCUUUAAGAAAAGCCAGCAAGCAGCAAAGGUUUUCAUCAAAAGUUGGGCCAAGACCCGGUGAUCAAACAACCAAAGCCGCAACACCAACCACUGUUUCAAACUAACAAUUGUUCUUUGUUUGAAAAUUUGAAACAUGUGUAAUCCAAAGCAACGUGCAAGAAGAAGGUGCAACUAAAAGGGAAAUUCACAGGAGCUAGGAACAGCUUCACAGCAAUAACCAGCCCAAAAGGGAAGUUUCUUCCAAAUUCUUUCCUGCAUUUUGUAAAGAAAAGAAAGAAGAAAAGAAGAAAAGAAAAAUCCUAGAAAAUCAUGGUAGCAUAGGGCCUCCAAUCUCUAGCUGCAUCAUUUCAAACCUAGGAUCAUUCUCCUGUUCUGCUCAUCAUAACCUGAGGAUCUUUUUCUUUUGUCCCAGGCAUAACCCAAGGAUCUUCCUCCUUUUCUCCCCAGCAUAACCUGAGGAUCUUUUUCUUUUGUCCACAUCAUAACCCGAGGAUCAUUUUCCUUUUUCUCCCCAGCAUAACCUAAGGAUCAUUUUCCUUUUCUCCCCGGCAUAACCCGAGGAUCGUUCCCCUUUUUUCUCCCUGGCAUAACCCAGGACCCUUUUCUUUUAUCACGGCAUAACCCGUGGAUCAUCCCUGGCAUAACCCAAGGACCUUCUUCUUUUAUACCGGCAUAAUCCGUGGAUCUCCCUGGCAUAACCCAAGGACCUUUUCUUUUGUCCCGGCAUAACCUGUGGAUCUCCCUGGCAUAACCCAAGGACCUUUUUC
This 952-nucleotide long non-coding RNA is filed under the name Nicotiana benthamiana. RNAcentral describes it as "long non-coding RNA (NBEN_LNC008572)". Lineage: Eukaryota; Viridiplantae; Streptophyta; Magnoliopsida; Solanales; Solanaceae. The record is from RNAcentral.